RNAcentral lists this ribosomal RNA (301 nucleotides) under uncultured bacterium. RNAcentral's name for it is "bacterial SSU rRNA". It matches the Rfam family "Bacterial small subunit ribosomal RNA", at positions 505 to 808 of the family's 1533-position model. The record is from RNAcentral.
GUGGCAGCCGCGGUAAUACGUAGGGUACGAGCGUUAAUCGGAAUUACUGGGCGUAAAGCGUGCGCAGGCGGUUUGUUAAGAUAGGCGUGAAAUCCCCGGGCUCAACCUGGGAACUGCGUUUAUGACUGGCAGGCUAGAGUAUGGCAGAGGGGGGUGGAAUUCCACGUGUAGCAGUGAAAUGCGUAGAGAUGUGGAGGAACACCGAUGGCGAAGGCAGCCCCCUGGGCCAAUACUGACGCUCAUGCACGAAAGCGUGGGUAGCAAACAGGAUUAGAUACACUGGUAGUCCACGCCCUAAACG